Molecule: long non-coding RNA, 246 nt
Filed under: Homo sapiens (human)
Lineage: Eukaryota; Metazoa; Chordata; Mammalia; Primates; Hominidae
Description: HSALNT0241287
Source: RNAcentral
AAAAAAGAAACCAGCAUGAAAUCAUGUUUUGGUAUAAUCACACUUCAGGAGAUGUCCUAAGUAAUUUCAAAUGCACCAGGGGUAGUCUUUCAGUUAAAGAAAUCCACAAGGGAGUCCUUAUUUUUGUAAAGCCUAGAUCCCUUUGGUGAAAAGCAUCACCACCUCUCUGGCAUCUCUCAAGAGUUAUACACCCACACCCACUGAAAGCAGGGCAUGAGUGGCACCCAGGACUCUGGCAAAGGCUCC